This 546-nucleotide ribosomal RNA is filed under the name uncultured bacterium. RNAcentral describes it as "partial 16S ribosomal RNA". It matches the Rfam family "Bacterial small subunit ribosomal RNA", at positions 355 to 892 of the family's 1533-position model. The record is from RNAcentral.
UGGGGAAUAUUGCACAAUGGGCGCAAGCCUGAUGCAGCCAUGCCGCGUGUGUGAAGAAGGCCUUCGGGUUGUAAAGCACUUUUGUCCGGAAAGAAAUCCUUGGCUCUAAUACAGUCGGGGGAUGACGGUACCGGAAGAAUAAGCACCGGCUAACUACGUGCCAGCAGCCGCGGUAAUACGUAGGGUGCAAGCGUUAAUCGGAAUUACUGGGCGUAAAGCGUGCGCAGGCGGUUUGCUAAGACCGAUGUGAAAUCCCCGGGCUCAACCUGGGAACUGCAUUGGUGACUGGCAGGCUAGAGUAUGGCAGAGGGGGGUAGAAUUCCACGUGUAGCAGGUGAAAUGCGUAGAGAUGUGGAGGAAUACCGAUGGCGAAGGCAGCCCCCUGGGCCAAUACUGACGCUCAUGCACGAAAGCGUGGGGAGCAAACAGGAUUAGAUACCCUGGUAGUCCACGCCCUAAAGCGAUGUCAACUAGUUGUUGGGGAUUCAUUUCCUUAGUAACGUAGCUAACGCGUGAAGUUGACCGCCUGGGGAGUACGGUCGCAAG